GCUGGAGUAGCUCCAACGGCAGAGCAACUGACUCGUAACCAGUAGGCUGUGGGUUCAAAUCCCAUCUCCAGCACCA
Molecule: transfer RNA, 76 nt
Filed under: Eggerthia catenaformis
Lineage: Bacteria; Bacillati; Bacillota; Erysipelotrichia; Erysipelotrichales; Coprobacillaceae
Also listed under: 1 other name
Description: tRNA-Thr(cgt)
Rfam family: tRNA
About the family: Transfer RNA (tRNA) molecules are approximately 80 nucleotides in length.
Source: RNAcentral